RNAcentral lists this ribosomal RNA (1562 nucleotides) under Lactobacillus helveticus R0052. RNAcentral describes it as "16S ribosomal RNA". It matches the Rfam family "Bacterial small subunit ribosomal RNA". The record is from RNAcentral. Lineage: Bacteria; Bacillati; Bacillota; Bacilli; Lactobacillales; Lactobacillaceae.
CAAAAUGAGAGUUUGAUCCUGGCUCAGGACGAACGCUGGCGGCGUGCCUAAUACAUGCAAGUCGAGCGAGCAGAACCAGCAGAUUUACUUCGGUAAUGACGCUGGGGACGCGAGCGGCGGAUGGGUGAGUAACACGUGGGGAACCUGCCCCAUAGUCUAGGAUACCACUUGGAAACAGGUGCUAAUACCGGAUAAUAAAGCAGAUCGCAUGAUCAGCUUAUAAAAGGCGGCGUAAGCUGUCGCUAUGGGAUGGCCCCGCGGUGCAUUAGCUAGUUGGUAAGGUAACGGCUUACCAAGGCAAUGAUGCAUAGCCGAGUUGAGAGACUGAACGGCCACAUUGGGACUGAGACACGGCCCAAACUCCUACGGGAGGCAGCAGUAGGGAAUCUUCCACAAUGGACGCAAGUCUGAUGGAGCAACGCCGCGUGAGUGAAGAAGGUUUUCGGAUCGUAAAGCUCUGUUGUUGGUGAAGAAGGAUAGAGGUAGUAACUGGCCUUUAUUUGACGGUAAUCAACCAGAAAGUCACGGCUAACUACGUGCCAGCAGCCGCGGUAAUACGUAGGUGGCAAGCGUUGUCCGGAUUUAUUGGGCGUAAAGCGAGCGCAGGCGGAAGAAUAAGUCUGAUGUGAAAGCCCUCGGCUUAACCGAGGAAUUGCAUCGGAAACUGUUUUUCUUGAGUGCAGAAGAGGAGAGUGGAACUCCAUGUGUAGCGGUGGAAUGCGUAGAUAUAUGGAAGAACACCAGUGGCGAAGGCGGCUCUCUGGUCUGCAACUGACGCUGAGGCUCGAAAGCAUGGGUAGCGAACAGGAUUAGAUACCCUGGUAGUCCAUGCCGUAAACGAUGAGUGCUAAGUGUUGGGAGGUUUCCGCCUCUCAGUGCUGCAGCUAACGCAUUAAGCACUCCGCCUGGGAGUACGACCGCAAGGUUGAAACUCAAAGGAAUUGACGGGGGCCCGCACAAGCGGUGGAGCAUGUGGUUUAAUUCGAAGCAACGCGAAGAACCUUACCAGGUCUUGACAUCUAGUGCCAUCCUAAGAGAUUAGGAGUUCCCUUCGGGGACGCUGAGACAGGUGGUGCAUGGCUGUCGUCAGCUCGUGUCGUGAGAUGUUGGGUAAGUCCCGCAACGAGCGCAACCCUUAUUAUUAGUUGCCAGCAUUAAGUUGGGCACUCUAAUGAGACUGCCGGUGACAAACCGGAGGAAGGUGGGGAUGACGUCAAGUCAUCAUGCCCCUUAUGACCUGGGCUACACACGUGCUACAAUGGGCAGUACAACGAGAAGCGAGCCUGCGAAGGCAAGCGAAUCUCUGAAAGCUGUUCUCAGUUCGGACUGCAGUCUGCAACUCGACUGCACGAAGCUGGAAUCGCUAGUAAUCGCGGAUCAGAACGCCGCGGUGAAUACGUUCCCGGGCCUUGUACACACCGCCCGUCACACCAUGGAAGUCUGCAAUGCCCAAAGCCGGUGGCCUAACCUUCGGGAAGGAGCCGUCUAAGGCAGGGCAGAUGACUGGGGUGAAGUCGUAACAAGGUAGCCGUAGGAGAACCUGCGGCUGGAUCACCUCCUUU